GGAAGGAUCAUUAACACGUUAUCCAACGUAACUACCAACGCGCAAUGUUUUCCCCUCUCUCCCGUUGCCUCACAUGUAUCGGCCAAGUGCGCAGAGAAAUUUGGAGGGACGAGGCUUCGGCUGAGUCUUCUCUGGCACCGACACGCUUGCGCAAGCAAGUAAACGAUAGUAGUGAGCCGCGGCUAUCGCUGCACUGCUGGAAAUCUCCACCAAGAUUAUGAGCAGUGUGGCACAAAUAAUAACAAUUUUAACCCCGUUUUUGCUAGUUGACUUUUUAAUCUGUUGAUGUUCUCACUUAAUUGCGAGGCUCAGCACGUUUGAUCUAAUUGAACGUUAAAUAAUACAACUCUUAGCAAUGGAUAUCUUGGUUCUCGCAACGAUGAAGAACGCAGCGAAAUGCGAUACGUAAUGCGAAUUGCAGAAUUCAGUGAAUCAUCAAAUCUUUGAACGCAAAUGGCGCUCUUGGGUAGCCCUAGGAGCACACCUCUCUCAGUAUCGGUUCAACAACCGCUCAGCAGCGUGCUUGAUUAACUUCAGGCAUGUGUGGCUGGAAAAUGAGAGUCUGAGUGCUUGUCAUUCAGUCUCUUGAAAUACAUCGAGUGUGCAUACGACUCUCCGGUCAACGACUCGCAGCUUCGGCUGCAGGUCUAGGCGGUGUCGGACUGUUUCUCAUCAGUGACGUGAAUACUGACCUCCGGGUCUCUCGUUUACGUGUAACUGGUUUGGAAUAUUUAGGUCCGGGAUAGCUGAACGGCAGAAUCGGAGUAGUGCAUACGAGCCCCCCCAUAUGAUUGUACGCCUUCGGGUGCAUGGUCUGAAUUUUGAUCUGAGAUGAAGUGAGACAACCCCCUGAAUUUAAGCAUAUUAAUAAGGGGAGGAAAAGAAACUAACAAGGAUUCCCUUAGUAACGGCGAGUGAAGCGGGAAGAGCUCAAUUUGAAAAUCGAUUACCCAAACGGGUCAUCGAAUUGUAGCCUAUAGACGUACUAUCAGCUGGAACCUGGGUAUAAGUUCUUUGGAAUGAGGCAUCAUAGAGGGUGAGAAUCCCGUAGAUGACCCAAAGCUUUCAGCGUACGAUGUAUGUUCAUCAAGUCGAGUUGUUUGGGAUUGCAGCUCUAAAUGGGUGGUAAGUUUCAUCUAAAGCUAAAUAAUGGCGAGAGACCGAUAGCGAACAAGUACCGUGAGGGAAAGAUGAAAAGAACUUUGAAAAGAGAGUUAAAAGUACUUGAAAUUGCUAAGAGGGAAGCGCUAAAAACCAGUGAUAUGCUGUAUCAAACGCUCUUCGCCCCUGUAGGUCGUGUUCACAGUUGGUAACUCUGUGUGCGCGCUCGAAAGGGAGGCGAGGGGUUUCCUGAUGCGGUGUGAGUCAAGAUCCAUUCGGUGUGUGGGAGAAGGUAGCGAGAAAGGUAGGAGGUUCGCCUCUGUUAAGUCUUGUUACUCUACCACGCGCUGGAUGGAGGAAGAAAUGGUGCGCCGCUUGCGGCUUGGCCCUGCGUCUCUGCGGUCUCAUCUGUUGUUCAGAGCAAUGCUCUGUCGGUGGAGAAAGGCUGUACUGGGCGUAGCGGUUCGAUGUGCCAUAACGAUCUUGUACGAAAUGGUUUUUAUCGACCCGUCUUGAAACACGGACCAAGGAGUCUAACAUCUAUGCGAGUAUUUGGGUGCAAAACCCUGAUGCGGAAUGAAAGUAAAGGCAGGCUUGUCCUGCUGAGGUAGGAAUCCGGCAACGGAGGCACUAUCGACCGAUCAUCACUUGUGAAAGAUUUGAGUAAGAGCAUAUCUGUUGGGACCCGAAAGAUGGUGAUCUAUGCCUGAACAGGGUGAAGCCAGGGGAAACUCUGGUGGAGGCUCGUAGCGAUACUGACGUGCAAAUCGUUCGUCUGAUUUGGGUAUAGGGGCGAAAGACUAAUCGAACCAUCUAGUAGCUGGUUCCCUC
RNAcentral lists this unclassified non-coding RNA (1932 nucleotides) under uncultured fungus. RNAcentral's name for it is "sequence contains 18S rRNA gene, ITS1, 5.8S rRNA gene, ITS2, 28S rRNA gene". The stretch from base 823 to 1932 matches the Rfam family "Eukaryotic large subunit ribosomal RNA", at positions 1 to 961 of the family's 3401-position model. The record is from RNAcentral. Lineage: Eukaryota; Fungi.